Stylophora pistillata is the source of this 1164-nucleotide long non-coding RNA. Lineage: Eukaryota; Metazoa; Cnidaria; Anthozoa; Scleractinia; Pocilloporidae. The record is from RefSeq and is a predicted model, not a curated record.
AAUAUUCCAUGGGUAUGAGGUUCUGCCCCAGGCGCGCUUCGCGCGCGUUGGAGCCCCGUUAUUAUUAGACAUGAUAUGGUCAAGAAAAGAUACAAAAAAUGCACUACCAAGAAAACACGCUACGGUUUAUGGCCCAUGCACUUCGCAUAUGUACCUUAAAUGUGAGCACAAAAAAUGAGGUUCCAUAACUAACAGUACAGACCUCCAAAUUGGUCAGUAAGAGGCAGCUGUUGUUGGAAAGCUUAUAUUCUUAGGAGAUGAUAGUCUUUAGGAGAAAAUGCAGUUGGUUAAAACCAAUGAGAAAAGGAUGCAGGCCCACUUCCCGUAAAACAAGAGUUGAAGCAACAGUGCUGUAAUUUAAACUUAUUAGUAAUCAAAGUCAUGUUAUUAUGUACAACAAUAUUGUGAACCAUGGAGGGGAAAAUAUUUACUUAAUCCUCCUCAAAUGCAAAUUGGUAAUUUAACAUGCCCUUUCCACAAUAAUUAAAACAGGCCUCUGAAGAUUAACCCCUCUUAACCCUAAGAGUGACCAGCAUUUAAUUUCUCUCCAUGCAGUGAUCCCUCCUCCCACAGGCAACCCACAGUCUAGUCAUUGACUGUCAUCUGAGCUCAGGGGUGGAGAAUUUUAACCUUGCCUGGGUGGGGUGUGGAAUUUGAACCACAACUGCCAAACCUUUCCAGUGGAAUACAAGUGUUUUAUUUUUUCUUAGUUCAUGAGCGGGCAGUAAUCUACAAAUCAUGCAAUCUGAUUGGUUCUGGGAGUGUGCAGUAUUCUCCCAUUUGGCCAACUCACAGCAGGCGGCAUCCUAUCCGUUGCAUGUAGAGUUUCCUAGUACAUCUUUAGCUUUGUUGCAAACUUUAUAAAUAUAUUUAGUUUUACCUGCUGGUCAGCAUUGUAAGCAGAGAUUUUAGUCACCAUCUUUAGCUAAUAAAUAACUUAUUAAUUCUCUCCUCUUUCUCUCUCAAAUAAGAAAAAAAAACUGAUUUGGUACCAAAUGUGUUUUUUGACAUGCGGCCUACAAAACGUUUAUAAUUCAAUAAUCCUUCUUACAAUGUAACUAAGAAAGUUAAAAUGAGAGGCAUUUGCAGUUAAUAAUUAGUUUCAUGGACACAACUUUCAUACAUUUGAUAUCAGAAUUCUACAAAACAAUUUGUUGGCUGUAA